This 468-nucleotide ribosomal RNA is filed under the name uncultured bacterium. Its description in RNAcentral is "partial 16S ribosomal RNA". It matches the Rfam family "Bacterial small subunit ribosomal RNA", at positions 28 to 507 of the family's 1533-position model. The record is from RNAcentral.
GACGAACGCUGGCGGCGUGCUUAACACAUGCAAGUCGAACGGAAAGGCCCUGCUUUUGCGGGGUGCUCGAGUGGCGAACGGGUGAGUAUCACGUGAGUAACCUGCCCUUGUCUUUGGGAUAACUUCAGGAAACUGGGGCUCAUACCGGAUAGGAGCUCCUGAUGCAUGGUGGGGGAUGGAAAGUUUCGGCGGUUGGGGAUGGACUCGCGGCUUAUCAGCUUGUUGGUGGGGUAGUGGCUUACCAAGGCUUUGACGGGUAGGCGGCCUGAGAGGGUGGCCGGCCACAUGGGGACUGAGAGACGGCCCAGACGCCAACGGGAGGCAGCAGUGGGGAAUAUUGCACAAUGGGCGGAAGCCUGAUGCAGCAACGCCGCGUGCGGGAUGACGGCCUUCGGGUGGUAAACCGCUGUCGCCUGUGACGAAGCGUGAGUGACGGUAAUUGGUAAAGAAGCACCGGCUAACUACGUG